This 345-nucleotide unclassified non-coding RNA is filed under the name soil metagenome. RNAcentral's name for it is "partial contains 5.8S ribosomal RNA, internal transcribed spacer 2, and large subunit ribosomal RNA". The stretch from base 1 to 121 matches the Rfam family "5.8S ribosomal RNA", at positions 35 to 154 of the family's 154-position model. The record is from RNAcentral.
GAUGAAGAACGUAGCGAAAUGCGAUAAGUAAUGCGAAUUGCAGAAUUUCCGUGAGUCAUCGAAUCUUUGAACGCACAUUGCGCCCACUGGUAUUCCGGUGGGCAUGCCUGUUCGAGCGUCAUUAUCCUCCCUCAAACCCCGGGUUUGGUGUUGGACCCAAGUUGUGUGAACAACUGGUCUCAAAGACAAUGACGGCGUCCGUGGGACCCUCGGUGCAACGAGCUUUUAGGAGCACGCAUCGAGUUGCAAGGACCUUCCGGGCCGGUCUCCUUUACCAUUUUACAAGGUUGACCUCGGAUCAGGUAAGAAUACCCGCUGAACUUAAGCAUAUCAAUAAGCGGAGGA